ACCUCACAUAAUUCCCAGUUAUUAUUAUUAUUUUUGGUACCGGGAUCAAACUUGGGUCCUUGGGCUUGCAAGGCAGGCAGCGGAACCAUUGAGCUAAAUCCCCGGCCCUCCUAGUUAUUUUCUUUGGUGGAUUUUAGGAGACUAUGGUGCUUCAAGGCAUGGAUUCUGGAGCUGGACUUCCCAACCCUGCCUGGCACUGCCCCUUCCAGCUGUGGGACAGUGGUGACUUUGAGUAAGUGACAAAGGGCUGUGCCUCAGUUUCUGACAGUGUGGGAAAGCACAGCCCAGGAGCCCUGGGCACCCGGAGAGGGCUCUGUGAGGGGACUCACUGCCUGCUUGCCUGGUCUCCCUCCAUGGACACCACUGGUCGGGAACAUCAGCCGCUCCAUCUUUAAGCAUUUGUGGAGGAGGAAACCAAGGCCACAGUGAGUCACUGGGGCCUCACAGCCGGCAGAAACCCUGAGCACCCUAUUCCCAGCCCAGUCCCCAGCAUGCCGUACUGAGGCCAAAGCUCAGCCCCCUGGCCAUGACCCCUGCUGAGGUACCUGGCUGUGUCCCAGGCCCCUGGAUGGGGUCAGGCCGGGAGCCCUUGCUUUGUGGUUGAACUGGGGAGUCCCUGAGCGGGUGACUCUGCAAACAGAGUGGCUGUUUCCAUGAGAGGGCCUCACACCCAGGACCUUCCUCCAAGGGGAUGGACUUGCUGUCACUUCAGGGAGCCCCAGGCAUAUGUCCUGAGCUAAGCCUCCACCAGCUAAACUUCGGAAAGUAUUCGAAGCACGCAGCCAGGAAUGUGCAGCUCCCAGCGCCAGCCUGGAAGCGGCCUGCCCGCCUGCCCUGUGAUUCCUCUCCUCUCACUCUGCUCGCUCUUGACCCGGACUCCUGCAGCUCCAGUUCCCAUGGUCACAGGAGAGACUGGAGAGCAGCGCUGGAAGUCCAAGGUCAAGGUGCAGGCAGACUCAGCGACUGCGCCAGCUGCUUCCUCGAAGACAGCUGUCUUCUCUCGAUGGCUGGACUUGUCAGAGGGGCAGGGGUCUGUCCUGGCCUUUUUUGUUUGUUGGUUGGUUUGUUGGUUUGUUUGUUUGAGGCAGGGUCUUGCUAUGGGCCUGGCUGGCCUCACACUGGAGGAGAUCCUCCUGCCUCAGCCUCCUGAGUGCUGAGAUAACAGGUGUCCAGCGCCAUGUACCCCCCACCGAAUACUGGGGAUCUAACUCAGGACCUUCCACGUUCGAAGCAGGCGAAGUGCCACUGAGCUAAGUCCCCAGUCCCUCUGAUCUCUUAUAGGAGCACAAAUCCUAGUUCUGAGAGCUUCACGGUGGCAACCUAAGCACCUCCCAAAGCUCCUCCUCUCACCAUGACCUUGGGGAUUAAGGUUCACCGUGUGAAUUAAAAGGAGUGUCACAAACCUGACUUCCAAACCCUCCUCUAAGUGUCCCCUGCUCUGGAACCCACAGGUCCAGGAGGUCCCUAGCCCACGGUGAACGCUUAAACCAGAGAGCUCCACGGGAUUUUGGCUUCCAAGGUUCCAAGGCUUCAGCGCCUUGGCAUUUGAUAGGUGCUGAGCGUGCAUUAUCAAGUAAAUAAAACAAUAGGUGCUUACUUUUCCUAGGAAGUAGAGGAUGUGAUGGCCCCCUGCCAAGGGUGGCCCUCCUGUGCACCUCGGACCAGGCCAUCCACCUGACACCCCAGCCGCAGCCAGGGUGGAAGCUCUGCUCGGUGGCCUGGGACCCGGUGGGACAGAGGGCUCCCGCUGGCCUGGUGCGUGGCUCCUCAGCCUUCAUUCACACGAAAUGCGAUCCCAUCACUCAAGCCGGGCGCCUGGCCUUGGCCGGCUCAG
Heterocephalus glaber (naked mole-rat) is the source of this 1834-nucleotide long non-coding RNA. The record is from Ensembl. NCBI's taxonomy places the organism in Eukaryota, Metazoa, Chordata, Mammalia, Rodentia, Bathyergidae.